RNAcentral lists this transfer RNA (75 nucleotides) under Clostridia bacterium. RNAcentral describes it as "tRNA-Asn". It matches the Rfam family "tRNA". Rfam says of the family: Transfer RNA (tRNA) molecules are approximately 80 nucleotides in length. Their secondary structure includes four short double-helical elements and three loops (D, anti-codon, and T loops). Lineage: Bacteria; Bacillati; Bacillota; Clostridia. The record is from RNAcentral.
GCGAGAGUAGCUUAACGGUAAAGCGUCUGGCCGUUAACCAGUUGACUGCUGGUUCGAAUCCAGCCUCUUGCGCCA